Molecule: ribosomal RNA, 460 nt
Filed under: uncultured bacterium
Lineage: Bacteria
Description: partial 16S ribosomal RNA
Rfam family: Bacterial small subunit ribosomal RNA
Source: RNAcentral
CCUACGGGUGGCAGCAGUGAGGAAUAUUGGUCAAUGGGCGCGAGCCUGAACCAGCCAAGUAGCGUGAAGGAUGACUGCCCUACGGGUUGUAAACUUCUUUUAUAGAGGAGUACAGUGAGGCACGUGUGCCUUUUUGUAUUUACUUUAUGAAUAAGGAUCGGCUAACUCCGUGCCAGCAGCCGCGGUAAUACGGAGGAUCCGUGCGUUAUCCGGAUUUAUUGGGUUUAACGGGAGCGUAGAUGGGUUGUUAAGUCAGUUGUGAAAGUUUGCGGCUCAACCGGAAAAUUGCAAUUGAUACUGGGAGUCUUGAGUACAGUUGAGGUAGGUGGAAUUCGUGGUGUAGCGGUGAAAUGCUUAGAUAUCACGAAGAACUCCGAUUGCGAAGGCAGCUUACUAAACUGCCACUGACAUCGAUGCUCGAAAGUGUGGGUAUCAAACAGGAUUAGAUACCCCAGUAGUC